UCUUCUUUGUUUUCCUUCUCCCUCUGCUCUGGCGAUUUUGAGUGAUGAUUCUGAUGUUAUGAAAUUGAAAGGAAAACUUAGGGGAAACUUUAAGAACUGAUUGAAGGUGUUAUUGCUGGUGUUAAUUUAACACGGGAAGGAGAAUAUAGAGUUGUUACUUUAAUCAGGAAGAUAGGGUUUUAGCUUGGGUUUCUUCAUAGAAGAAUUGAGCAAUUAAAGAUGGAUUUGAGUGGUUGUUGGAUGAAGAACGACUAGGUCGCUGUUUGAUUGAAGUUAUGAAGUUGUUUUGGAGAUGAUCAAAGAGUUAGGGUUUCUCAGAGAUUGAAUUAGGGUUUGUGAGAAAAGCUAAGGAAGAUGAAUUGAAGGUUUAGAGGUCUGUAUGGAGAUGGGUUUGUUUCGAAUUAAGAGUUAAGGUUUGAUUUUGAAGCUGAGAUCGAUUAGAGAUCGUGACCGAAGUUGUUAACAUAUUUUGGGUUUGAUUAUGAUUAUAAGAGGGUGAUGGAAAUAUUAUGAGUUUGGAAUUGGUUGGUGCUGGAGCAGAAUUAAUCUGAGGUAAUUAAUCUUCUCUGUGAUUUUAGAUAAGUUAAUUAUUUCAAGUUGUUGAAUUUAUAGAAUGGUUGUUAAGCUAAGAAUUGAAAUGAUUAUGGAGAGAUUGUUAUGGAACUGUGGUUCGUGGUCUAGACUUAUGUUGAAGUUACAGAGUUUCAAUGGGUUUCUGAGUCUGUGAUAGAGAAGGCAGUGGCUUCUCUGGUGGUGGUGUUGUGUUGCUGAUGGCACUGACUUAGUGAUACUGAGUUUAGUAAUUUAGAGUUGAAGUUGCAGGGGAUAUGAGUGAUGGGGAUGUAUGAAUUGUUGAUGAUGAUUAUAGUGUGGCAGGUGAAGUGUAAUUACAAUGAGAGUUGCAGAUGAGGUUUGAGUUAAGUCAGCCACGAACAAAAAUAAGAACUCUAUUAAAUUUUUGGAAUGCAAGUUGUGGUAGCAAUAGAACUGAAGUUGUAGGUGGUACAUGUUUGACUAAGUUCAGAGUUUAGAGUCGGAGUUGGUUGAGUUGGCUUGGCUGUGAACUGAUUUGGUAGUUGCUGGUGGAGAUGUAGAGUGAAGCUACAUUGGUGGUUACGAAUCUUUUGUUUGUGUAAAAGAGUAGGUUGGUAUGAAUGUUGUGUAUGGAACAAGAGUUGCAGGCAAGGAGGGUGGAUAAUGGGAGUUGUAGGAUUGUAGUUAGUCCUAGCAGUGAAAGCUUGCAACUUCUGUUGUUGCAGGUAGGCGGUGUUAUUUUUGUAAAUCAAUUUUAAGUUAUAAUUUGAAUGAAUGAAUGAAUUGUUGCAACGAA
Long non-coding RNA from Papaver somniferum (opium poppy), 1330 nucleotides. RefSeq lists it as uncharacterized. The record is from RefSeq and is a predicted model, not a curated record. The transcript has 2 exons. NCBI's taxonomy places the organism in Eukaryota, Viridiplantae, Streptophyta, Magnoliopsida, Ranunculales, Papaveraceae.